RNAcentral lists this ribosomal RNA (335 nucleotides) under uncultured bacterium. Its description in RNAcentral is "bacterial SSU rRNA". It matches the Rfam family "Bacterial small subunit ribosomal RNA", at positions 30 to 365 of the family's 1533-position model. The record is from RNAcentral.
AUUGAACGCUGGCGGCAGGCCUAACACAUGCAAGUCGAGCGGUAGAGAGGUGCUUGCAUCUCUUGAGAGCGGCGGACGGGUGAGUAAUGCCUAGGAAUCUGCCUAGUGGUGGGGGAUAACGUUCGGAAACGGACGCUAAUACCGCAUACGUCCUACGGGAGAAAGCGGGGGAUCUUCGGACCUCGCGCCAUUAGAUGAGCCUAGGUCGGAUUAGCUAGUUGGUGAGGUAAUGGCUCACCAAGGCGACGAUCCGUAACUGGUCUGAGAGGAUGAUCAGUCACACUGGAACUGAGACACGGUCCAGACUCCUACGGGAGGCAGCAGUGGGGAAUAUU